GAUGAACGCUGGCGGCGUGCUUAACACAUGCAAGUCGAACGAUGAAGCCCAGCUUGCUGGGUGGAUUAGUGGCGAACGGGUGAGUAACACGUGAGUAACCUGCCCUUGACUCUGGGAUAAGCCUGGGAAACUGGGUCUAAUACUGGAUAUGACUUCUCAUCGCAUGGUGGGGGGUGGAAAGAUUUAUUGGUCUUGGAUGGACUCGCGGCCUAUCAGCUUGUUGGUGAGGUAAUGGCUCACCAAGGCGACGACGGGUAGCCGGCCUGGGAGGGUGACCGGCCACACUGGGACUGAGACACGGCCCGGACUCCUACGGGAGGCAGCAGUGGGGAAUAUUGCACAAUGGGCGCAAGCCUGAUGCAGCGACGCCGCGUGAGGGAUGACGGCCUUCGGGUUGUAAACCUCUUUCAGUAGGGAAGAAGCGAGAGUGACGGUACCUGCAGAAGAAGCGCCGGCUAACUACGU
This 465-nucleotide ribosomal RNA is filed under the name uncultured bacterium. RNAcentral's name for it is "partial 16S ribosomal RNA". It matches the Rfam family "Bacterial small subunit ribosomal RNA", at positions 28 to 506 of the family's 1533-position model. The record is from RNAcentral.